AGAGUUUGAUCAUGGCUCAGGACGAACGCNGGCGGCGUGCCUUACCCAUGCAANUNGGACGGGGGAGCANUCCCCAGUGGCAGACGGCUGAGUAACACGUGAGUGACCUGCCCAGAGGUGGGGGAUAGCCCCUCGAAAGAGGGGGUAAUACCGCGUAAGCUGGCGGGGGUAGAGACCCGUCAGGAAAGCAGAGAUGCGCCUUUGGAGGGGCUCGCGGCCCAUCAGGUAGUUGGUGGGGUAAUGGCCUACCAAGCUGAUGACGGGUAGCUGGUCUGAGAGGAUGAUCAGCCAGACUGGGACUGAGAGACGGCCCAGACUCCUACGGGGGGCAGCAGGGGGGAAUCUUGGACAAUGGGGGAAACCCUGAUCCAGCGACGCCGCGUGGAGGACGAAGGUCUUCGGAUCGUAAACUCCUUUUGACAGGGAAGAUGAUGACGGUACCUGUCGAAUAAGCCCCGGCUAACUACGUGCCAGCAGCCGCGGUAAUACGUAGGGGGCGAGCGUUGUCCGGAUUUACUGGGCGUAAAGAGCGCGUAGGCGGCCUGUUAAGUUGGCUGUGAAAGGUCCCGGCCCAACUGGGAUAAGUCAGCCGAGACUGGCGGGCUUGAGGGCGGUAGAGGAAGGUGGAAUUCCGGGUGUAGUGGUGAAAUGCGUAGAUAUCCGGAGGAACACCGGUGGCGAAGGCGGCCUUCUGGGCCGUACCUGACGCUGAGGCGCGAAAGCGUGGGGAGCGAACUGAAUUAGAUACUCAGGUAGUCCACGCCCUAAACGAUGGACGCUAGGUGUAGGGGGUAUCGACCCCUCCUGUGCCGAAGCUAACGCAUUAAGCGUCCCGCCUGGGGAGUACGGCCGCAAGGCUAAAACUCAAAGGAAUUGACGG
Molecule: ribosomal RNA, 880 nt
Filed under: uncultured bacterium
Lineage: Bacteria
Description: bacterial SSU rRNA
Rfam family: Bacterial small subunit ribosomal RNA
Source: RNAcentral